UCUGGGGUUUCCUGUGUCGUAAUAAAGAGUACCUGAUUUGUACCAUGCCUACAUUCAAUUGAUCUGUCUCUGCUGUUUCAAUUUUCCUGAUGACACUUCUCUCCGUAAACUACCAAAGCAUGUGGCUAAGUUAUAUUGAUCUGUCUUGAUUGGUGAUGAUUAGAGAAAAUGCAUGUGAAACAUGUAGAUAAUAGGCUGUCAUGUCAGAAUUUUUAAAAC
Molecule: long non-coding RNA, 219 nt
Filed under: Hordeum vulgare
Lineage: Eukaryota; Viridiplantae; Streptophyta; Magnoliopsida; Poales; Poaceae
Description: long non-coding RNA (HVUL_LNC019731)
Source: RNAcentral